Long non-coding RNA from Papaver somniferum (opium poppy), 1951 nucleotides. RefSeq lists it as uncharacterized. NCBI's taxonomy places the organism in Eukaryota, Viridiplantae, Streptophyta, Magnoliopsida, Ranunculales, Papaveraceae. The record is from RefSeq and is a predicted model, not a curated record. The transcript is spliced from 9 exons.
CUCUUAGUAUUGGGGUUGAACUUCUUCUUCUUGUUUGGAGGUGCAAUAAUCAUCUAUCGUUAUACACACAUACUGAUGAUGAUGGUGAUGAUGAUUAUCAAAUCCCUUUAUCCUCGUUUAUCCCAAAUCAAGUUUGAAUUUGCUGAUUUCAGAGAUCUCAAAUCCCAAAUCGCGCCAACCACUUUAUUAGGCUGCAAGAAUACCCACCUUCUCUUGAUUCAACUUUAGAAUUGCAUCCAGGAUUAAAGUUAGGCAAGUGGUGAAAAAUGCUGAUAUUUGGAUUUCAAGCUUAUCUAUGCUUGUAAUUGAGCAGGUAAGAGUGAGAGGAAGGGUACCAGAGAAUCUAGGUUGCCUACCAAGGUUAUCUGAAUUAGGAGGAUGUGUAUACUCAGGAGGUUUCUCUGCAAGUACAUGGAGGCAAAAAAGAUUGACAAGCACGUGUACCAUGAUAUGUACUUGAGGCAUGUGUUCAAGAACAAGCGUGUAUUGAUGGAAAGUAUUCACAAACCUAAGGCAGAGAAGGCCAUAGAGAAGACUUUGUCUGACCAGUCUAAGAAAAGGCUGGCAGAGGAAGGAAGCAUGCUGGGUGGGAGGAGCGUUUGAAUGCGCUGGUUAGUAAGUAUUAAGGCCUUUUCUGUUUGAAAAGGUCCAUCUGGUUUCGGAUACUCAAACGCAACUGAAGAUAUAACUCAUGGGAUUGUUGGAACUGGACUUACUGCAAUUGUUACUGGUAACUAGUACUGAAUUCUUUGUAUGGGUUUUCUUAUUUCAUGUUUUUCUUUACUGGGUUCAUUUUUUAUUUUUCAUAAAGACAUUAAAGAUUUUGUUAGUUCUGGUAAUGGUGUUUGAUGAAAUGGGUGAGAGAAAUAAGUAUAUGGCUUGUUUCAGGGAGAUCUUGGGUGCUUCAAGUGGUAUUGGUUCUGAGAUUGCGCGUGUUCUUGCUAUGCUUGGAGUUCGUGUAGUCAUGGGAGUGUGGAAUAUAGCUGCAGGUAAAGAUGUUAAGGAAACAAUAUCAAAGGAAAACUCUUCGGAUAAAUUUGAUGUUACGGAGCUAUAUCUUAGCUCCAUGGCGUCGGUGAGACAAUUUGCUUCCAAAUUCGAGUCGGUAGAUCUCCCCCUAAACUUGCUUAUUAAUAAUGUAGGAGUCAUGGCAUGUCCCUUCAUGCUUUCCCAUGACAAUAUAGAGAUGCAGUUUGCGAAAAACCAUCUAGGUUUGCAACAUGAUUCUUUUCAGGAAGUAAUAAUGAGGGAGUCAAGGAUGGCGUAGAGACAUUGGCAAUCAUGAUAAUACUUUUUGGCUUUAAUAUGUAUGUCUAUAACGCUUUCAUUUGUCAAGGUAAACAUUCUUAUUUAAGUCUUAUUUACUCUGUGCUUUUCCUCUCUCUCUCUAGAAAGCAUCAACCAGCAGCACAACAAUGGUAUCCCAUAAUGUCGGCUAUGUUGAAAAGGGUCAAAUUCCAACCAAGAUUGGGUUGUUUGGCAAGAUCCAGAGAUACUGACCUUUUCGAUGAUACUCCGUAAUACAGGAUACUUCAAUUGAACUAGGAAGUUUAGUUGUUUGUCAAUCUCAUGUUUUUGUUUGUAAAGUUUUGAAACAAUGUCUCCAUGUUGAUUUAGCCUUGUAGCCAUGGAGUUUGAGUUUAAUUUGAAGGAAGCGACGAGUGACGAUACCAAUCACUUAUUCACUGGUAAGUCAUACUCAUCAUCACAACUACAUGCCACUACUGGGUCAUAAGAUUAGUGAUGCGGUUAAGUGCACGAUAGAUGCAGCUAAGAUGCUCCCAUCUACAAUCUUAUUCUAAUUCAGUGUUGAGUGCUUUGGUAUUCUGACUUCAUAGUUGCUAUGGUAUUAUGUAAUUGUUUUCACAUUUGGAAAUUCAGUGAUAGUAGUUUGUUGAAUUUGUAAAAUUAAGACGGUUAAUAACGUUCACUCAAUUUAAGUUUUUUUGAU